UGCAGAAGCAGGGAUAACCCCACAAGACGAGAAGACCCUAUGGAGCUUUAGGCCCGCUAUUACCCACUUCCAGCUCUACGGCUACGAACCCUUUAAGCUUUAGUGACGCUUGUCGCCGGCCUUUGGUUGGGGUGACCGUGGGGUACACAAAGCCCCCAUGAUGACCCGGGCAACCUGCCCGCAAGCUGAGAGGCACGCCUCCGAGCAUCGAGACACUUGACAAUCAGAUCCGGCGUAUCCGCCGAUCCACGGACCGAGUUACCCUAGGGAUAACAGCGCAAUCCUCUCCUAGAGCCCCUAUCGACGAGAGGGUUUACGACCUCGAUGUUGGAUCAGGACAUCCUAAUGGUGCAGCCGCUAUUAAGGGUUCGUUUGUUCAACGAUUAAAGUCCU
This 393-nucleotide ribosomal RNA is filed under the name Trachinocephalus trachinus. RNAcentral describes it as "partial large subunit ribosomal RNA". It matches the Rfam family "Bacterial large subunit ribosomal RNA", at positions 2054 to 2597 of the family's 2925-position model. Lineage: Eukaryota; Metazoa; Chordata; Actinopteri; Aulopiformes; Synodontidae. The record is from RNAcentral.